Molecule: long non-coding RNA, 660 nt
Organism: Cyprinus carpio carpio
Lineage: Eukaryota; Metazoa; Chordata; Actinopteri; Cypriniformes; Cyprinidae
Source: Ensembl
AUUAUGGGUAAUCCUCAAAGCAAUGGAGGAUUUCCCUUGAGGUAACGUGUCUAUGAAUGUCCGUGGACUAAACAAUGUUAACUCACUUGAAAAGCAUGUAAAAGUUAAGCUAGAUUUCUUUUGGUUGUAUAAGGUGUUGUUGAUUAAUUUCGCCAUGUUUUUAUAAAGUCAACGAUCUGGUUAUGUGUUUUAUAGCCGAUAGAAAGUCUCUCAAGUAUAGCUAGCUAACUUUAAAAUGAUGCCGUCUUUCCAGACAGAGCAUGCGCUGUUUAUCCACAUGAGAUGACUACUCAACACUGUUUUCCUUUGUCAUAAAUGCAGAUGUGGAAUAAACCUGCUGUUACCACAAACCUGACGGUGUCCGAGAGAGUAUAUCAGGCAGAAGACAUUACACAGAGGUUACAUUGGUGCCGUGACUCGUCCAUGACUACGCCGGACCGGGACUGAUGUUUUCUUGCCGCUGCAUCGUUGUGGAACUGCACUUCCUCCAUCAGUGUAUUUGACUGGCAGAGCAUGCGCUGUUUAUCCACAUGAGAUGACUACUCAACACUGUUUUCCUUUGUCAUAAAUGCAGAUGUGGAAUAAACCUGCUGUUACCACAAACCUGACGGUGUCCGAGAGAGUAUAUCAGGCAGAAGACAUUACACAGAGGUUACAUAU